Molecule: transfer RNA, 71 nt
Filed under: Ovis aries (sheep)
Lineage: Eukaryota; Metazoa; Chordata; Mammalia; Artiodactyla; Bovidae
Rfam family: tRNA
About the family: Transfer RNA (tRNA) molecules are approximately 80 nucleotides in length. Their secondary structure includes four short double-helical elements and three loops (D, anti-codon, and T loops). Further hydrogen bonds mediate the characteristic L-shaped molecular structure. tRNAs have two regions of fundamental functional importance: the anti-codon, which is responsible for specific mRNA codon recognition, and the 3' end, to which the tRNAs corresponding amino acid is attached (by aminoacyl-tRNA synthetases). tRNAs cope with the degeneracy of the genetic code in two manners: having more than one tRNA (with a specific anti-codon) for a particular amino acid; and 'wobble' base-pairing, i.e. permitting non-standard base-pairing at the 3rd anti-codon position.
Source: Rfam by way of RNAcentral
UUUUGGUGGCUCAGACGGUAAAGAAUCUGCCUGCAAUGCAGGAGAUCCAGGUUCAAUCCCUGGGUCAGAAA